Molecule: ribosomal RNA, 440 nt
Filed under: uncultured bacterium
Lineage: Bacteria
Description: partial 16S ribosomal RNA
Rfam family: Bacterial small subunit ribosomal RNA
Source: RNAcentral
CCUACGGGAGGCAGCAGUGGGGAAUAUUGCACAAUGGGGGAAACCCUGAUGUAGCGACGCCGCGUGAGUGAAGAAGUAUUUCGGUACGUAAAGCUCUAUCAGCAGGGAAGAAAAUGACGGUACCUGACUAAGAAGCCCCGGCUAACUACGUGCCAGCAGCCGCGGUAAUACGUAGGGGGCAAGCGUUAUCCGGAUUUACUGGGUGUAAAGGGAGCGUAGACGGCAGCGCAAGUCUGGAGUGAAAUCCCAUGGCUUAACCAUGGAACUGCUUUGGAAACUGUGCAGCUAGAGUGCAGGAGAGGUAAGCGGAAUUCCUAGUGUAGCGGUGAAAUGCGUAGAUAUUAGGAGGAACACCAGUGGCGAAGGCGGCUUACUGGACUGUAACUGACGUUGAGGCUCGAAAGCGUGGGGAGCAAACAGGAUUAGAUACCCGGGUAGUC